RNAcentral lists this ribosomal RNA (497 nucleotides) under uncultured bacterium. Its description in RNAcentral is "partial 16S ribosomal RNA". It matches the Rfam family "Bacterial small subunit ribosomal RNA", at positions 28 to 507 of the family's 1533-position model. The record is from RNAcentral.
GAUGAACGCUGGCGGCGUGCCUAAUACAUGCAAGUCGAGCGAACGGACGAGAAGCUUGCUUCUCUGAUGUUAGCGGCGGACGGGUGAGUAACACGUGGAUAACCUACCUAUAAGACUGGGAUAACUUCGGGAAACCGGAGCUAAUACCGGAUAAUAUUUUGAACCGCAUGGUUCAAAAGUGAAAGACGGUCUUGCUGUCACUUAUAGAUGGAUCUGCGCUGCAUUAGCUAGUUGGUAAGGUAACGGCUUACCAAGGCAACGAUGCAUAGCCGACCUGAAAGGCGGCUCGGCAAAACUGGAACGGGAGCACGGUCAAGAAUCCUACGGGAGGCAGCAGUAGGGAAUCUUCCGCAAUGGGAGCAGUCCGGACGGAGCAACGCCGCGUGAGUGAUGAAGGUCUUCGGAUCGUAAAACUCUGUUAUUAGGGAAGAACAUAUGUGUAAGUAACUGUGCACAUCUUGACGGUACCUAAUAAGAAAGCCACGGCUAACUACGGG